RNAcentral lists this ribosomal RNA (243 nucleotides) under uncultured bacterium. Its description in RNAcentral is "partial 16S ribosomal RNA". It matches the Rfam family "Bacterial small subunit ribosomal RNA", at positions 93 to 339 of the family's 1533-position model. The record is from RNAcentral.
UAGCGGCGAACGGGUGAGUAAUGCCUAGGAAUCUGCCCAUUAGCGGGGGAUAACGUUCCGAAAGGAACGCUAAUACCGCAUACGCCCUACGGGGGAAAGCAGGGGAUCUUCGGACCUUGCACUAAUGGAUGAGCCUAGGUCAGAUUAGCUAGUUGGUGAGGUAAUGGCUCACCAAGGCGACGAUCUGUAGCGGGUCUGAGAGGAUGAUCCGCCACACUGGAACUGAGACACGGUCCAGACUCC